GAUGAACGCUGGCGGCGUGCCUAACACAUGCAAGUCGAGCGAUUCUCUUCGGAGAAGAGCGGCGGACGGGUGAGUAACGCGUGGGUAACCUGCCCUGUACACACGGAUAACAUACCGAAAGGUAUGCUAAUACGAGAUAAUAUGCUUUUAUCGCAUGGUAGAAGUAUCAAAGCUCUGGCGGUACAGGAUGGACCCGCGUCUGAUUAGCUAGUUGGUAAGGUAACGGCUUACCAAGGCGACGAUCAGUAGCCGACCUGAGAGGGUGAUCGGCCACAUUGGAACUGAGACACGGUCCAAACUCCUACGGGAGGCAGCAGUGGGGAAUAUUGCACAAUGGGGGAAACCCUGAUGCAGCGACGCCGCGUGAACGAUGAAGUAUUUCGGUAUGUAAAGUUCUAUCAGCAGGGAAGAUAAUGACGGUACCUGACUAAGAAGCCCCGGCUAACUACGUG
Molecule: ribosomal RNA, 452 nt
Filed under: uncultured bacterium
Lineage: Bacteria
Description: bacterial SSU rRNA
Rfam family: Bacterial small subunit ribosomal RNA
Source: RNAcentral